AUCGCCUAAUUCGGAGCUGUGUCUGUUCUAUAGGCUCAUACCUCUGUAUCCUUUAGCAUAAAGGAGACAGGAACUCAAGUCUGGUUGAUGAAUUGCGACCGUGGGAUCAGAGCGUGAUUAACGGUUGGGGAAGUUCUUCGGAGUUGUCCUUGGCUGUAGAGGAUCGUUCUCAGUCAGAAUUCCCUGACUGGGGUGGUCCCACGGUUGUCUGACAGAUU
Small nucleolar RNA from Hevea brasiliensis (rubber tree), 218 nucleotides. RefSeq annotates it as small nucleolar RNA U3. The transcript has a single exon. NCBI's taxonomy places the organism in Eukaryota, Viridiplantae, Streptophyta, Magnoliopsida, Malpighiales, Euphorbiaceae. The record is from RefSeq and is a predicted model, not a curated record.